This 488-nucleotide ribosomal RNA is filed under the name uncultured bacterium. Its description in RNAcentral is "partial 16S ribosomal RNA". It matches the Rfam family "Bacterial small subunit ribosomal RNA", at positions 28 to 507 of the family's 1533-position model. The record is from RNAcentral.
GAUGAACGCUGGCGGCGUGCCUAAUACAUGCAAGUCGAGCGGACAGACGCGGCUCUUGCUCCUCUCACGUUAGCCGCGGGCGGGUGAGUAACGCGUGUAACCCGCCCUUUACUUUGGGAUAAAUUUAGGAAACCCGGGCUAAUACCCGAUAAGAGCUCUUGAUCCACGGUGUGCGUUGGGAAGUUUCGGUUGUUGGGGACGUACUCGCGGCUUCUCAGCUUGUUGGCUAGGUAGUGGCGUACCAAGGUUUCGACGGGUAGCAGACUUGCCAGGGCGAGCGGCCACACUGGAAGUGAGACAGGGUACAGAGUCCCACGGGAGGCAGCAGUAGGGAUUCGUGAGGAAGGGGUGAAGGCCUGACGGAGCAGCGCCGCGGGAGUGAUGAAGGUCGUCGGAUCGGAAAACUCUGCUAUUAGGGAAGAACAAAUGUGUAAGUAACUCGGCACGUCUUGACGGUACCUGAGCAGAAAGCCACGGCUAACUACGUG